RNAcentral lists this ribosomal RNA (256 nucleotides) under uncultured bacterium. Its description in RNAcentral is "partial 16S ribosomal RNA". It matches the Rfam family "Bacterial small subunit ribosomal RNA", at positions 524 to 776 of the family's 1533-position model. The record is from RNAcentral.
UACGUAGGUGGCAAGCGUUGUCCGGAUUUAUUGGGUUUAAAGGGUGCGUAGGCGGCUUGAUAAGUCAGUGGUGAAAGCCGAUCGCUUAACGAUCGAACUGCCAUUGAUACUGCCAGGCUUGAGUAUAGUUGAGGUAGGCGGAAUUGACAGUGUAGCGGUGAAAUGCAUAGAUAUUGUCAAGAACACCAAUUGCGAAGGCAGCUUACUAAAGUAUAACUGACGCUGAGGCACGAAAAGUGCGGGGGAUCAAAACAGG